Molecule: long non-coding RNA, 1571 nt
Organism: Mus musculus (house mouse)
Lineage: Eukaryota; Metazoa; Chordata; Mammalia; Rodentia; Muridae
Product: predicted gene, 31656
Exons: 4
Source: RefSeq, a predicted model, not a curated record
GGCAUGUGGGCCAUGCUUCCUUAGUUUGUUUUUUAUCCUUAAAGCACGCCUACUUUAGCCCCUCUGAGGAGAGAGGGAGGCAAGACUAGAGUCCUGCAGACAACCCAUGAUGGAUGAGAAGGAACAAAGGCAGUUCCAUAUUAGCCCAGGAAGCAAUCCAGCUCCCUCCUGUCUCCGAAGUAAACCUACCCCCGAAAAUGCAUGAGGACCAAGGAACUAAGAAGUCAUCUUGUCACAGCAGCACUGUUCCGAGUAGACAUGCGCAAAUAAGGGGACAGGCAUACAAUUACACAUAUCUCAUCCCUAUGAAAACCAACUAUUUUAGCCCGAUCAGGACUUUGGCCUACUUCGGAUCUCUGUCAUCUGUUUCAGGGGACCUUGGUUCUCUUUAAACGUACCUAUAUCUGGCCCCCAGGAAAUCCAGUGCCGUGGGCUACAUCUGCAGCAAUUGUUGAGUCGCUAUGAAGGUGCUGGAGAUCUUAGCUUGGGGCUUCAUGCUUGAUUGAGCAAGCUUGUUAUCCACCGAGGAGUCUCCUAGCACCCUUCUGGGCUCCUUGAUUCAGCCUCUAGAGGAGCUCAUGGUCCAAGCCUCUUCUUGACAUCCAUCCAUCUACCUGACUGGGCCACACCACUUUCCCUGAACACUACAGGGCACCCUCCCCUAUCUCCCACCUCCAUGUGAACCUCAUCCAAGGUCAUCUUUCUGAUGGACACCCUUUGCUCAGCUGGGUCCAAGGGGGAUCAUGGAUCAUGGAAGAGGGCCUUGCCUUUUCACUGGACUGCUCCAGCCCAGCUGCCAUCAAUACCUACUAUCCCAGUUCAGACUGGGAGACUUCCCACUUGGCAAUGAAGCCAUUUUCCCAGACCACAGAGCUGGCCACACUGAUCUCUGGAUUCCUCAUGCCUUGGAGACCCUCUGCCCUUGACACAUGACCUUCCUGCUUUGGUGCACACAGGACUCAUCUACAGACUCACAGGGAGAAACAGGAGAGAGAAGAGAUGGGAGUUGCUCCAGCCCAGGAGCACGGCUAAAAUGCUGAGAACUUUGCUCUCAAUGUGGUCCAACAUGAGUAAUGAGACCUCAUCUGCUAGGAUCGAUGGCUCGUUUCUGUUUCUGAUUAAUCUGUUAUGAAGCAAGCUGUGCCCACACCAGCCCUGCCCUGCAACAGGUAAGCAAGUCACACUUGCCAAGUGUGAAGGCUGAAGGCUGUGAAUAGACAGAGAGCCCUAGAUACUUGUAUAGUACAGAAGGACCUUUUAGGCCACAGGUGCCAUUGAGCCGCAGGCUCGACCUGCAGCCCUCAGGUCUCCUCAUCCAUGGUGGUACACUUGACUAUGGGAGGAUGACUAUGUUCAUGACGCUACACCUCUUGUGGCCAUACUAUUGUCACAAAAGAGCACUGUGAAUAAGCCAAGCCAUAUGGGAUGGUCUGUAUAUGUUCCACCCAGGGAAUGGCACUAUUAGAAGGUGUGGCCCUGUUGGAGUAGCUGUGUCACUGUGGGUGUGUUCUUUAAGAGCCUCAUCCUUGCUGCCUGAAAGUGAGUAUUCUGCUAGUGUCCUUCAGAUGAAG